AUCUAGAUGACGAGUUUCAAAAUGAACGAAACGCACGUCCUGGAU
Schistosoma haematobium is the source of this 45-nucleotide non-coding RNA. The record is from Rfam. Lineage: Eukaryota; Metazoa; Platyhelminthes; Trematoda; Strigeidida; Schistosomatidae.